Long non-coding RNA from Xenia sp. Carnegie-2017, 631 nucleotides. RefSeq lists it as uncharacterized. The record is from RefSeq and is a predicted model, not a curated record. NCBI's taxonomy places the organism in Eukaryota, Metazoa, Cnidaria, Anthozoa, Malacalcyonacea, Xeniidae. The transcript is spliced from 2 exons.
GUUGUUCAAUCAUCAGUAGAUUGAACGUUGCCUGGACACUAUUGUGUUUUCGAGGCUUUGCCUGUGCCUAGAAAUGGAAUUUUUCAUUUGACUAUUCCAUUUUUUUGAGGCUGUAGGCGUCCUGGCACAUAGCAAUAUGUGUUUCGAGGAGAAAUUUAAUGGUGCCUGCACAUUUGUGUUCGAGGCUUAAAAAUGUAACAUGAAAUUAUAACCUAGUUUACGUAACUAAACAAUUAAAAAGAAUGAGAAGUAAUUCGAAAUGCAAGUCUUCUAUGUGAGUAUUCCUCUACAACAUAGUAGAACAUAGAACCACAAUAGCACAAUAUUCAUUUUGAACUAUUUUUUUAUACAAAAAAUACUCAACAAAACAGCCCAAUUGGACGACAUAAGAAAACUAUUUUGUGGUCCUAACAUUGAUAGCACUUUCAAUCAGAUCGAGCGUUGUAGUGACAUUAUGAAUAUUGCCGGGAUGAUCUGCAUGCGGAAGUCCUUGAACAACGUUCAUGAUGCGUAACAUUUUAUCUUUAACAUUUUUGUACCUUAUAGUUCAACGAGUUCACAUUGUUUAUAUAGUUUCUUGACUUGUAAAAAGCCAAUGGUUAAACUUCGAAUAACUUGAAAAAAAAAUUUA